CUUAUGCCGGCGACCGGCGGACGGGUGCGUAACGCGUAUGUAACCUACCUUUGACAGGGGGAUAACAUCGAGAAAUUGGUACUAAUACCCCAUAACAUCACCGGAGGCAUCUUCGGUGGUUGAAAACUCAGGUGGUCAGAGAUGGACAUGCGUUGAAUUAGCUAGUUGGUGAGGUAACGGCUCACCAAGGCGACGAUACAUAGGGGGACUGAGAGGUCAACCCCCCACAUUGGUACUGAGACACGGACCAAACUCCUACGGGAGGCAGCAG
This 271-nucleotide ribosomal RNA is filed under the name uncultured bacterium. Its description in RNAcentral is "partial 16S ribosomal RNA". It matches the Rfam family "Bacterial small subunit ribosomal RNA", at positions 78 to 354 of the family's 1533-position model. The record is from RNAcentral.